Molecule: transfer RNA, 87 nt
Filed under: Candidatus Parendomicrobium reticulitermitis
Lineage: Bacteria; Pseudomonadati; Elusimicrobiota; Endomicrobiia; Endomicrobiales; Endomicrobiaceae
Description: tRNA-Ser
Rfam family: tRNA
About the family: Transfer RNA (tRNA) molecules are approximately 80 nucleotides in length.
Source: RNAcentral
GGAGAGAUGGCCGAGCGGUUUAAGGCGGUAGUCUUGAAAACUACUAUAGCGGUAACGCUAUCGGGGGUUCAAAUCCCUCUCUCUCCG